Molecule: unclassified non-coding RNA, 267 nt
Filed under: plant metagenome
Description: partial contains small subunit ribosomal RNA, internal transcribed spacer 1, and 5.8S ribosomal RNA
Source: RNAcentral
UUUCCGUAGGUGAACCUGCGGAAGGAUCAUUAUCGAACAAAAAGUGAGGGGCAUGCAAGGGCUUUCGCUGACCAGAAAGGACUGCACGCCCGAGUGUGUCCUCUUGCAUAAUAGUCCAUCUCGCCUUUUGUGCAUCACCGCGUGGGCACCCUUCGGGAUCAUCUCGGAGGGGGGCUCGCGUUUUCACACACACCCCCCUUUUAAAAGUGUAGAAUGACCACAUUUAUGCAAUCAAUACAACUUUCAACAACGGAUCUCUUGGCUCUC